This is a non-coding RNA of Bos taurus (domestic cattle), 73 nucleotides long. NCBI's taxonomy places the organism in Eukaryota, Metazoa, Chordata, Mammalia, Artiodactyla, Bovidae. The record is from Rfam.
UCCCUAGCAGUCCAGUGGUUAAGACUCUGAACUUCCAAUUCAGGGGGUAUUGAUUCAAUCCCUAAUUGGGGAA